UUGGUGCCUUCGGGAACUCAGACACAGGUGCUGCAUGGCUGUCGUCAGCUCGUGUCGAGAGAUGUUGGGUUAAGUCCCGUAACGAGCGCAACCCUUAUCCUUAGUUACCAGCACGUAAUGGUGGGCACUCUAAGGAGACUGCCGGUGACAAACCGGAGGAAGGUGGGGAUGACGUCAAGUCAUCAUGGCCCUUACGGCCAGGGCUACACACGUGCUACAAUGGUCGGCACAAAGGGUUGCCAAGCCGCGAGGUGGAGCUAAUCCCAUAAAACCGAUCGUAGUCCGGAUCGCAGUCUGCAACUCGACUGCGUGAAGUCGGAAUCGCUAGUAAUCGUGAAUCAGAAUGUCACGGUGAAUACGUUCCCGGGCCUUGUACACACCGCCCGUCACACCAUGGGAGUGGGUUGCUCCAGAAGUAGCUAGUCUAACCUUCGGGGGGACGGUUACCACGGAGUGAUUCAUGACUGGGGUGAAGUCGUAACAAGGUAAGCGUAGAUGA
This 499-nucleotide ribosomal RNA is filed under the name uncultured bacterium. RNAcentral describes it as "bacterial SSU rRNA". It matches the Rfam family "Bacterial small subunit ribosomal RNA", at positions 1011 to 1509 of the family's 1533-position model. The record is from RNAcentral.